This 476-nucleotide ribosomal RNA is filed under the name uncultured bacterium. RNAcentral describes it as "bacterial SSU rRNA". It matches the Rfam family "Bacterial small subunit ribosomal RNA", at positions 32 to 507 of the family's 1533-position model. The record is from RNAcentral.
GACGCUGGCGGCGUGCCUAACACAUGCAAGUCAACUUGACUGAAGGAGCAAUCUGACAGUAGAGUGGCGCAAGGGUGCGUAACGCGUAAGUAACUUGCCCCAAGGUAAGGAAUAACGUCGAGAAAUCGGCGCUAAUACCUCAUAAUGCAGCGGAUCCGCAUGGAUAUGUUGUUAAAGGUUUACCGCCUUGGGAUAGGCUUGCGUCUGAUUAGUUAGUUGGUGUGGUAACGGCACACCAAGGCUACGAUCAGUAACUGGUCUGAGAGGAUGAUCAGUCACACUGGAACUGAGACACGGUCCAGACUCCUACGGGAGGCAGCAGUGAGGAAUAUUGGGCAAUGCUCGAAAGAGUGACCCAGCAACGCCGCGUGGAGGAUGAAGGUAUUCUAUAUCGUAAACUCCUGUGAGAGCAGACGAAAGACAGAUUAUUAAUCUGGAUGACUGUAUGCUCAGAGGAAGCCCCGGCUAACUACGUG